RNAcentral lists this long non-coding RNA (7712 nucleotides) under Arabidopsis thaliana (thale cress). Its description in RNAcentral is "long non-coding RNA (ATHA_LNC000091)". Lineage: Eukaryota; Viridiplantae; Streptophyta; Magnoliopsida; Brassicales; Brassicaceae. The record is from RNAcentral.
AUGCUUGAGAGUUACCUGAGAAGACAAGGUCUUGUCGGAACUCGUUACACGCCUCUUGUAGGAGAUGUGAGAAGGAGUUUUAGCAUGUUGAAGGAAGCAAGAUCCAAACCGAUGAAACCAACGGAUGAUCUCAUCUCACUUGUCAUGCCUUACUCUUUUCACAUGCUCAACACUUACGGUUGAGAUUUUAAAUUCUUUUUGUAUUUACUAGAGGUCUAAACGGUUCUUCUUCUAAUAUAUAUGCAUGUAUGUAUCUGUGGCUACAACAGGGAAGACAUUUUUCACAUGGUCAGGACCCAUACCUGCCAUAACAAUAAUGAAUCCACAGCUGAUCAAAGAAGUGUACAACAAGUUUUAUGAUUUCGAGAAGACGCACACGUUUCCUUUGACUUCAUUGCUAACUGAUGGACUUGCUAAUGCCGAUGGAGAUAAAUGGGUGAAACACCGGAAGAUUAUCAACCCGGCAUUCCAUUUUGAGAAGAUUAAGGUUUCAAAUCCUCUUCUCUAAUAUUGUCACAAAACCAUGCAUGUUAAUAUUGCUUCUGGCUGACGAGUGAAUGGCCUUUUUUUGUGACCUGAUUAUGAUUUUGUGUAUAGAAUAUGGUCCCUACGUUUUAUAAAAGUUGCAUCGAGGUCAUGUGUGAAUGGGAGAAGUUAGUUUCAGAUAAAGGGUCGUCGUGCGAGCUUGAUGUUUGGCCAUGGAUUGUGAAUAUGACCGGAGAUGUGAUCUCUCGAACCGCUUUUGGUAGCAGUUACAAAGAAGGACAGAGGAUAUUCAUAUUACAAGCAGAAUUAGCCCACCUCAUCAUACUAGCUCUUGGAAAGAAUUACAUUCCUGCAUACCGGUAAGAAACUUUACUUGUUUUGGUCUCUAAUUACUUAGCAUGACUCUUGGUUACAAUACUCUUCUUGGAACUGUGAAUUUCAUUCUUCUUUGUUUUUGUAUGUGUAGGCAUUUCCCAACUAAGAAUAACAGAAGGAUGAAAACAAUAGUCAAAGAAAUCCAAGUCAUACUAAGAGGGAUCAUUAGCCAUAGAGAAAAGGCGAGAGACGCUGGAGAAGCACCGAGUGACGAUUUGUUAGGUAUACUUCUUAAAUCGAAUUCAGAGCAAAGUAAAGGAAAUGGACUGAACAUGGAAGAAAUCAUGGAAGAGUGCAAGUUGUUUUAUUUUGCGGGACAAGAGACCACUUCAGUACUUUUGGCUUGGACUAUGGUUUUGUUAAGCCAACACCAAGACUGGCAAGCUCGUGCACGAGAGGAAGUGAUGCAAGUUUUUGGCCAUAACAAACCUGAUCUACAAGGCAUUAACCAACUCAAAGUUGUAAGUAUUAACCAAACCAAAAAAAAAUCAAGUUGAUGCAUUUCUUCAAUUUUGUUUUGAUGAUUUUGUUCCUACAGAUGACAAUGAUUAUAUAUGAAGUCCUGAGGCUAUAUCCUCCAGUAAUCCAGAUGAACAGAGCGACUCACAAAGAGAUAAAGCUAGGUGAUAUGACACUACCAGGCGGUAUUCAAGUCCAUAUGCCUGUUCUGCUAAUCCACCGUGACACUAAGCUUUGGGGCGAUGAUGCAGCGGAGUUCAAGCCCGAGAGGUUCAAAGACGGGAUCGCAAAGGCAACAAAGAACCAGGUCUGCUUCUUGCCUUUCGGGUGGGGACCGAGGAUUUGCAUCGGUCAGAACUUCGCUCUGUUGGAAGCAAAGAUGGCUCUGGCUUUGAUUCUUCAGAGAUUCUCCUUCGAGCUUUCACCUUCCUAUGUUCAUUCACCUUACAGAGUCUUCACUAUACAUCCACAGUGUGGGGCUCAUCUUAUCCUGCACAAGCUUUGAUACUAUACUCCACGUGAUGUUAUCAAAACUUAUACAUAUGAGAAACAAAAUUUCAUAGAGGAAUUUAUUCAAGAUAAUAGUCAUAUUAACCAUGUUUUGAAUUGAGAAUGCUUCCCUAAUAACAACUAAUCCAUCUAUUUUUGAGUAUUAUUUUAUACCAAAUAGAAAUGCCUUAGUGGAAGAGAUGAUAUUUAAAUAAGAAUCUACAAAUUUGGGGAAAAAAUCUAUAAAGUUUAAAAUCUCUCAACUUUUGAAAUACACAGUUGUAACUCCCCAAUAAAAGCAAAAUUGAUCAAUUAGUGACUCAAGUAAAGCAAAAUAUCAAUGAGUCAAAAUAAAACAAUUUUGUCCAAAACACAAACUAUACAGUAUUUUAAAACAUGAGGGGUGGUAAUAUCCAUAUCCAUACCUUCUUCGAAACUAUCUCUCUUCUCUGGGAGAGAAAAAUGGAGAUAUCAGUUGCAUGCGUAACAGUUUCUGUAGUUGUAGUUGUUGUGUCAUGGUGGGUAUGGAGAACUUUACAGUGGGUUUGGUUUAAACCAAAGAUGCUUGAAAGUUACUUGAGAAGACAAGGUCUUGCCGGAACUCCUUACACACCUCUUAUCGGUGAUUUGAAGAGGAACGUCAACAUGUUGACGGAGGCAACAUCCAAACCCAUCAAACUAACCGAAGAUAUCACACCUCGUGUCCUGCCUCAUCCCUUCCAAAUGCUCAAGACUCACGGUAUGUGUCCUGGUUGGCCUUUUGCUUCCUCUCUGUUUUAAACUGUUGAUCAAGAGAAAAAGAGUUUCAAAUUUUGUAUAUCUAUGUGGUUUGAAACAGGAAGGACUUUCUUUACAUGGCUUGGACCCAAACCAACCAUCACCAUAAUGGAUCCAGAGCUAAUCAAAGAAGUGUUCAACAAAGUUUAUGAUUAUCCGAAGGCGCAAACGUUUCUUUUGGGCAGACUAAUAGCCACUGGAAUCAUUAAUUACGAUGGUGAUAAAUGGGCGAAACACCGAAGAAUCAUCAACCCUGCUUUUCAUAUAGAGAAGAUCAAGGUUUAAGGCUUUAUUUUUCAGUCAUGAAUCAAGUUGUAUGCUCAUUUUAUUCUGAACUAAUUUGUGCAUUCUAACUUCUAUGUAUAGAAUAUGGUACCUGCGUUCCACCAGAGCUGCAGCGAUGUUGUUGGCGAAUGGAGCAAGUUAGUGUCGGAUAAAGGGUCGUCGUCCUGUGAGGUAGACGUUUGGCCUUGGCUUGUGAGUAUGACUGGAGAUGUGAUCUCUCGUACUGCUUUUGGCAGCAGCUACAAAGAAGGGCAGAGGAUCUUUGAGCUACAAGCAGAACUAGUACAUCUCAUCUUACAAGCUUUUUGGAAAGUUUACAUCCCUGGAUAUCGGUAAUAAAAGAUCUCAACCUGCCUGGUUUUAGAACUUCACUAGUGCUGCAAACUAUUACAGAUUGUGAACCAUGAUGUGUCAUAUACUCAUAUUCUCUCUGUCUUCUGUUUGUGUAGUUAUCUCCCUACGAAGAGUAAUAGAAGGAUGAAAGCAGCAGCUAGAGAAAUCCAAGUUAUACUGAAAGGGAUCGUUAACAAAAGGUUAAGGGCGAGAGAAGCUGGGAAAGCAGCACCAAACGACGAUUUGUUGGGAAUACUUCUUGAAUCAAAUUUGGGGCAAGCCAAAGGAAAUGGAAUGAGUACUGAGGAUGUGAUGGAGGAGUGCAAGUUGUUCUAUUUCGCCGGGCAAGAGACAACUUCGGUACUUCUGGUCUGGGCAAUGGUGCUGUUAAGCCACCACCAAGAUUGGCAGGCUCGUGCACGAGAGGAAGUGAAGCAAGUUUUUGGCGAUAAAGAACCUGAUACAGAAUGUCUUAGCCAGCUCAAAGUUGUAAGUAUAAACCAAAUCAUAAACCUUCAGGUGACUUUAGUACUUUUAUUGUGUUUAGAUGGUUUUGCUGAAUGUUUCCAACAGAUGACAAUGAUAUUAUAUGAGGUUCUCAGGCUAUAUCCUCCUGUAACUCACCUGACCCGAGCGAUUGACAAAGAGAUGAAGCUAGGUGACUUGACACUACCAGCCGGUGUUCAUAUCAGUCUACCUAUAAUGCUAGUCCAACGCGACCCCAUGCUGUGGGGUACUGAUGCAGCAGAAUUUAAGCCUGAGAGAUUCAAAGACGGUCUUUCAAAGGCAACAAAGAGCCAAGUCUCCUUCUUUCCAUUUGCAUGGGGACCGAGGAUAUGCAUCGGCCAGAAUUUUGCCAUGUUAGAGGCAAAGAUGGCAAUGGCGUUGAUUCUACAGACAUUCACCUUCGAGCUUUCUCCUUCCUAUGUUCAUGCGCCUCAAACAGUCGUUACCAUUCACCCGCAGUUCGGUGCACAUCUUAUUCUGCGCAAGCUAUAAUUCUAUAACCACAUGUGCUGUUGUCAAAUAAACAUAGGAAAAUAAUCCAGAUCAUAAUAUAAAACUCAAAUCUUUUUCUUAUUUGAAGUCAGAACUUUGUCCUCACAUAUGUCUUGAGAAACCAAAAUAUUUCCAAUAAAAAGAGUGAAACGCAUGGACCAAUAGAUUUCUUCCUCUUUUCGUCGCUUUUCACACAAAGUCCAAAUAUGCUUCUGCGCUUUGGUGGCAUGUGACUGUGAGGGUCCAAGUAAAGCAAAAGAUCAAUUAAGCACAACAAAAUAAUUGUCCAAACCACCAAAAUAUAAAAUAUAAAAUAAUUUGUGACCAUCAUCACCACAUCCAUAUCUUCUCCGAUAUUCUAAACCCUGAGAAUGGUCACAAAUUCUCUAACUCUCUCUCUCUCUCUCUAGUAGAAAACAUGGAGAUAUCAGUUGCAUCGGUAACAGUUUCUGUAGCUGUAGUUGUUGUGUCGUGGUGGGUAUGGAGAACUUUACAGUGGGUUUGGUUUAAACCAAAGAUGCUUGAGAGUUACCUGAGAAGACAAGGUCUUGCUGGAACUCCUUACACGCCUCUUGUCGGUGAUUUGAAGAAGAAUUUUAGCAUGCGGGCUGAGGCAAGAUCCAAACCCAUCAACCUAACGGAUGAUAUCACACCACGUAUCGUACCUUAUCCGUUGCAAAUGCUCAAGACUCAUGGUAUGCUUCCUUGUUGGCAUCUUGAUUCCUCUUUGUUUAGAACUAUUGUAGAGUAUCUAGAAAAGGUUUCAACUUUCGUAUCUCUAUGUGGUUGAAACAGGGAGGACUUUCUUUACAUGGUUUGGAGCCAUACCAACAAUCACCAUAAUGGAUCCUGAGCAAAUCACAGAAGUGCUCAACAAAGUUUAUGAUUUCCAGAAGGCACAUACGUUUCCUCUGGGCAGAUUAAUAGCCACUGGAGUCCUUAGUUAUGAUGGUGAUAAAUGGGCGAAACACCGAAGAAUCAUCAACCCGGCUUUCCACCUUGAGAAGAUCAAGGUUUAAAGGCUUUAUCUUCCAUAGUCCCCAAUCAGAUUAGAUUGCUUUAUGUAUGUAUGUUCAUUUGGCUCUGAACCAAAUUGUGCCUUCUGCUUCUAUGUAUAGAAUAUGGUACCUGCGUUCCACCAGAGCUGCAGCGAGAUUGUUUGCAAAUGGGACAAGUUAGUGUCGGAUAAAGAGUCAUCAUGUGAGGUAGAUGUUUGGCCUGGGCUUGUGAGUAUGACUGCAGAUGUGAUCUCCCGUACUGCUUUUGGCAGCAGCUGCGUAGAAGGGCAGAGGAUAUUUGAGCUCCAAGCAGAACUAGCACAGCUCAUCAUUCAAACGGUUAGGAAAGCUUUCAUCCCUGGAUAUAGGUAAUGAAAAACUCAACUUAUCUGAUUUAAUAUAGGUCCUUCUGAGCUUGACUCUUGAUCUUAAAAUGUCGCAAUCUAUUCCUUAAAGAUAUGAACCGUGUUAACAUUAUCUUUCUGCCAAUCUUUUUCUGUAGUUAUCUCCCAACAAAAGGUAACAGAAGGAUGAAAGCAAAAGCAAGAGAAAUCCAAGUUAUACUGAGAGGGAUCGUUAACAAAAGGUUAAGGGCCAGAGAAGCUGGUGAAGCACCAAACGACGAUUUACUGGGAAUACUUCUUGAAUCGAAUUUGGGGCAAACGAAAGGAAACGGAAUGAGUACCGAGGAUCUGAUGGAGGAGUGCAAGUUGUUCUAUUUCGUCGGGCAAGAGACAACAUCAGUACUUCUGGUUUGGACAAUGGUUCUGUUAAGUCAACACCAAGAUUGGCAGGCUCGUGCACGAGAAGAAGUGAAGCAAGUGUUUGGCGAUAAAGAACCUGAUGCAGAAGGACUCAACCAGCUCAAAGUUGUAAGUAAAAGCAAAUCAUAAACCUCUUGGUGACUUUUGUUGUGUUUUGAUGAUUUUUGAUGAAUGAUUUGAUCCCACGCAGAUGACGAUGAUAUUAUAUGAGGUCCUUAGGCUAUAUCCUCCAAUACCUCAGCUGAGCAGAGCCAUUCACAAAGAGAUGGAGCUUGGAGAUCUGACACUACCAGGCGGCGUUCUGAUCAAUCUACCUAUCCUUCUAGUCCAACGCGACACGGAGCUGUGGGGAAACGAUGCAGGAGAGUUCAAGCCAGAUAGAUUCAAAGACGGUCUCUCAAAGGCAACAAAGAACCAAGCCUCCUUCUUUCCUUUUGCGUGGGGAUCGAGGAUCUGCAUUGGCCAGAAUUUUGCAUUGCUUGAGGCAAAGAUGGCAAUGGCAUUGAUACUCCAGAGAUUCUCCUUUGAGCUUUCUCCUUCCUAUGUUCACGCACCUUACACAGUCUUCACCAUUCACCCACAGUUCGGUGCUCCUCUUAUCAUGCACAAGCUCUAAUCGUUCGUAGCAACCCAUUUUGUUGUUAUCAAAUAUACUUUCCAUUCACAGAUGAAACAAUUCCAUAUCAGUCUACCUAUAAUGCUAGUCCAACGCGACACCAUGAUGUGGGAAUUCAAGCCUGAGAGAUUCAAAGACGGUCUUUCAAAGGCAACAAAGAGCCACGUCUCCUUCUUUCCAUUUGCAUGGGGACCGAAGAUAUGCAUCGGCCAGAAUUUUGCCAUGUUGGAGGCAAAGAUGGCAAUGGCGUUGAUUCUACAGAGAUUCUCCUUCGAGCUUUCUCCUUCCUAUGUUCAUGCGCCUCAAAUAGUCGUCACCAUUCACCCACAGUUCGGUGCACAUCUUAUCCUGCGCAAGCUGUAAUUCUAGAAUCCCAUGUGCUCUUGUCAGAUAAACAGAGGAAAAUAAACCAGAUCAUAGUAUAAAACUCAAAUCUUUUUAUUAAUUGAAUUCAGAACUUUGUGCUCACAUAUGUCUUGACAAACCAAAAUAUUUCCAAGAAAAAGAGUGAAACGCAUGGACCAAUAUAUGUCUUCCUAUUUUCGUCGCUUUUCACACGAAGUCCAAAUUUGCUUCUUGCGCCUUGGUGGCACGACUGUGAGGGUCCAAGUAAAGCAAAAAUUAAUUAGUCAUUACAAAAUAAUUGCCCAAAAUAUCAAAAUAUAAAGUAUUUAAGACAUCAGGGGUGAUGUCAUCACCACAUCCAUAUCUUCUCCGAAAUUCUAAACAUUUAUACAUCCUGAGAAUGGUCACAAAUUCUCUACCUCUCUCUCUCUCUCUCUCUGGUAGAGAAAAUGGAGAUAUCAGUUGCAUCGGUAACAGUUUCUGUAGCUGUAGUUGUUGUGUCAUGGUGGGUAUGGAGAACUUUACAGCGGGUUUGGCUUAAACCAAAGAUGCUUGAGAGUUACCUGAGAAGACAAGGUCUUGCCGGAACUCCUUACACGCCUCUUGUCGGUGAUUUGAAGAGAAAUUUUAGCAUGCUGGCUGAGGCAAGAUCCAAACCCAUCAACCUAACAGAUGAUAUCACACCACGUAUCGUGCCUUAUCCGUUGCAAAUGCUCAAGACUCAUGGUAUGCUUCCCGGUUGGCAUCUUGAUUCCUCUUUGUUUAGAACUAUUUUGUAGAGUAUCU